UUUCUUACUUCUUUUCUUGCUUUCAACAGCUCUUUACCCUUUGCUGUCUGCUUUUUUAAAUUAAAUUUUGUUUUUUGCAAGUGACAUGCUUUUGGUGCUUGGAAUUUUUAAAGAUGAUUACUUUUACUUUGAAGAAAGGUGAGAUCAUUCAUAGGAGCUAUACAUAUUGUUGGUGAUCCUAGAGGAAAAAAAAAAACAUUUAAUAAGAUUUAUGAUAACUUCAAUAAUACUUCAAAACAUUUAAUAAGAUUUAUGAUAACUUCAAUAAUACUUCCUGAGAUAUAAUUAAGGGUAUUUUUAGCCUAAAAAUCUG
Molecule: long non-coding RNA, 313 nt
Filed under: Populus trichocarpa (black cottonwood)
Lineage: Eukaryota; Viridiplantae; Streptophyta; Magnoliopsida; Malpighiales; Salicaceae
Description: long non-coding RNA (PTRI_LNC003935)
Source: RNAcentral